UGGUAUGACCUUCAUCUUGCUGGUGACA
Molecule: non-coding RNA, 28 nt
Filed under: Rattus norvegicus (Norway rat)
Lineage: Eukaryota; Metazoa; Chordata; Mammalia; Rodentia; Muridae
Source: RNAcentral